AUUGAACGCUGGCGGCAUGCCUUACACAUGCAAGUCGAACGGCAGCACGGGAGCAAUCCUGGUGGCGAGUGGCGAACGGGUGAGUAAAGUAUCGGAACGUGCCCAGUCGUGGGGGAUAACGUAGCGAAAGUUACGCUAAUACCGCAUACGAUCUAUGGAUGAAAGCGGGGGAUCGCAAGACCUCGAGCGAUUGGAGCGGCCGAUAUCAGAUUAGGUAGUUGGUGGGGUAAAGGCUCACCAAGCCGACGAUCUGUAGCUGGUCUGAGAGGACGACCAGCCACACUGGGACUGAGACACGGCCCAGACUCCUACGGGAGGCAGCAGUGGGGAAUUUUAGACAAUGGGCGCAAGCCUGAUCCAGCCAUGCCGCGUGCAGGAUGGAGGCCUUCGGGUUGUAAACUGCUUUUGUACGGAACGAAAAGGUUUGACUUAAUACGUUGGACUCAUGACGGUACCGUAAGAAUAAGCACCGGCUAACUACGUGCCAGCCGCCGCAGUAA
RNAcentral lists this ribosomal RNA (500 nucleotides) under uncultured bacterium. RNAcentral's name for it is "partial 16S ribosomal RNA". It matches the Rfam family "Bacterial small subunit ribosomal RNA", at positions 30 to 523 of the family's 1533-position model. The record is from RNAcentral.